Triticum aestivum (bread wheat) is the source of this 125-nucleotide non-coding RNA. Lineage: Eukaryota; Viridiplantae; Streptophyta; Magnoliopsida; Poales; Poaceae. The record is from Rfam.
UAUAUACUCCCUCUGCCCAGAAAUACUUGUCGAAGAAAUGAAUAAAAAUGGAUGUAUCUAGAACUAAAAUACGUCUACAUAAAUUAAUUCCUUCGACAAGUAUUUCCGGACGGAGGGAGUACUUC